GACUCUAGUUUUGACUAGAGAUGAUUCAUGUAAGGUACCGGACUUCUAAAAUUAUGAAGUUACGGUGUACAUUUAAAUGGUUCCUGUGAGGUUCCGGUGGAAUGUAGUAUACCGAAUUUUAAAUAUAAAAAAAAAAAAUAAAUAAAAAUAGUAUGAGAUACUAUUUUAUUGGAUUUAGAGAAGUGAAAUAUCAGUUGGGAACGACCUGUGCUGAAAUCGGAGCGAAAACAGAAGAUUUAGAAUUUUCUGUUGGAAACGGGACUGAUAAAUUAGCAGAAAAUGUACAGUCUCAGAAAAUUAUGAAAAUUGGCGGGGAUGUCAGAAAUAUUUUUAUGAGGCUAGAUUUAAAGUUUCAUAUUUUUCUGACACCCGUAGAGUGAGAAAUAAAAUCCGAAAGCUAUCUGAUAAAGAUUGCAGUUCGGCACAGUUUUCGGUGACCAAACGAAGUCGAAACUGAAAACUUAAUAUAUAUUCUUGUUCAGUACGUUAAACCGAACAUGACUGUCAAAUUUGAGCUCAAACGGAUAUUCAGAGAGCUCCGGCGAAAGAUAUCAGAUUUGGAGCUGCCUGAUGUGAAUAGUGUAUGCUACUAUUGAGGUGUUGACUAUAAGUAGAAGCUACUAGGCUUCUUCCUCCUCAAGCUGCAGCCAGCACCAAGCAUCACACGCACAUGGUGAAGGAGAGAGAAACCCUCUCUUUCUCUCUCUAAAUAUCUCUCUCAUCUCUCUAUAUUUCUCGCCCAAAUUCGCGGCGUUGGUGGAGAUCGAGCUUGCGAACGCGUUGGAGGCGACGGAUUGAGCUUUCGUGCGCCCGUUGGAGCGGCGUGUUUUCGUUGCGGCGUUCACGUUGGGGUAAGCUUUUGGGAUUUGGCUUAAUCCUUAGCAUUAAGUGUUCUAUUAGCCUCUAAUGAGCUUUGUUGGCAUGUUGAUCCAUUUAAUUUGGAUUAUUUGGAGGUUAAUUGUACGUUAGGGCUCCGAAUGGGGUUUUGUAAAAUAUAAGGGUUUGAUCUCAUUUGACCUUUCGUAAACCUAAUUGCUAGGUAACGAAACGCGUUGGCGAAGACGGUUCGGUAAUCCGACGAGCCGUUACAAAGUUAUUAAAGAAAUAGACGUUUAGGCUUCGGGUCCGCCGGGAGGGCCGAGGCGACGUCGUAAAAUCAUGGAAAUGGAUUUGAGGCAUCGUGGCACAUAACCGAAGACCUAUAAUUUUCGGGGCUGCGAAGCGGAGCACGGUUGAGGCGCAGUUGCAGUAUCGGGCCGUGCCGGGUGCCGAGUGCCGCGGGAGGCCGAUUGCAAGUGUCGACAAGCAAUCGGAACGCGAGUUAAGGUGGGUUGUGCUUACCGAAGCGACUAGGUCGCCCUUUAUGUCUUAGCAAUGUAAUCUCAUGUUGAUGCAUGUGCAUGUAGACAAGAGCAAGGAUGCAUGUUAAUAAAGAUGCAUAAAGUAGAUGCUAAGUAGAAAGCAUGAUAAAUGGUAAUGCUUAGAGCAAAUGCAUAUUAAUAACAAUGCAUAGUGGAGCAUAAUGAUUAUGGCAUUAGAUAAUGCUAGCUAAUGUAAAGUAAUGCAUGAUAAUGAUAAUGCAUAGAUGAAAAUGCUUAGUAGAAAUGCAUGGUGAGCAAGUUACACAAUGCUAAUAAUGCAUGAUAAUAAUGUAAUGCUAAGUAAUGCAUGAUAUGAAGUAAAUGCAUAUUAAUAAUAAUGCAUGAUGAGGAUGCUAAGUAAGGGAUGCAUGUUAGUAAUGAUGCAAAGAGUAAUUGCUAAGUAGAAAGCAUGAUGCAUGGUAUAUGUAUAUAAACCAGAUGAUAACUCUAGGAUGAGUAGAGAUGACUGGACAACUAAGUUGUCAGGUAGAUCGAGUGGCAUCUAACCUAGUGUUAAAGAACAUAGGUUGGUUAGUAAACCUAGAGUUGAACAAUCUAGGUGUGUGGCAUCUAACCUAGUGUUAGUAAACCUAGGUUGAACUAGUAAACCUAGAAGUGGAUAUCUAGGCAAAGAUGAUAAGAACCUAGCAAGUGUAUCUAGGUUAAGUGAUGUGGACAUAGAACCUAGAGUGUUGGAACCUAGGUUGAUGAGUAUAGUGGUAUAGCCACUAGAUUGAGCUAGGUCGACAGUAUAGGGUUGGCUAUGAACCCUCGACCUGUGGUAAGUGGAUUCCGGAAUCCCAGGACUUAUGAUGUCCCUGGUACAGGCUAGGGCGUUCGUGCGACGAUUUCGCCGCCGAGCUUGGUACCGUGGGUAGAUUGGGGGCGAUCACAUGGAGAUCACCGCCCGGGGCUUGAACCAUUGUGCUGGCGUUUGUGCGACGAUUUCGCCGCCAGAGUGGUUAAGCCAUUUGAGGAUCAGACCGCCAGAGUAGACUGAAUCCAUGCUGGGUAAGUACGAUGCGGGUGCCUCCAGGUGACUGAGUCUGACAUGAUCGUUGUUGGGUGUGGUGCGACCCGUUCGCCGCCAGACGGUAUGUCAUGUCUCGAGCUCACGCUGGGUAUGUGCAACGCGAUCGCCACCGAUGGUCAAGUCUUGUGACUCGAGCCGUAUUCAGCGUGUGCGACGAUUUCGCCGCUAGGAGGCUGAGUCAGAGAGAGUGCGGUAGGCUGUUGAGCAGCCAGUGCGCGGACUAUCCGCAGAUGAUUGACUCGAAGCCGAGUCGGGUGGUUAGCUAUGAUAGGGUAGAGGAACCCUUAUGAGCCAGAGAUAGAGGCUUGAGCUAAGGUAAUAGAAACCUUAGAAGCCAGUGGUUGGUGUUGUGAUCCUAAGGUAAUAGAAACCUUAGAGUAAAGUUAUGAGCUAAAGUAGCCAAGUAAAAGUAGAAUUCAUAUGAUCUACUAGUUGUUGCAUGGUUUUCAUAUCGCAUAUCGUGAGGCAUGGCAUGUAUUUCAAUUGAAUAUAUAUAUCUGUUGUAUAUUGUUGAACUAACAUGUUGCAGUGCCUCCUCGGACCUAUCGGUCGAGCUUUUCCCUUGGGUGGCCGUACCCACUGGGAACCAUGGAGUUGGUUCUCACCCCACGUUGUUUCGGGGUGUUUUCAGGUUGUACAUGUGCGGCGCGACGGCGCGAGGCGAGGGCGUAGCUCAGUAGAUAGCGCCCUGCCACAGAGACCGAGGUAGAAGUACCCUGAGGCAGUCUAGCUUAGGGGACUAGAAGACAAGGAAAAAUAAAAUGUAUUAAACUCGUAAACCCUAAUGUGAUGAGAUUGUAAUCUGGAAGUAAAAAUGCAAAUAAAAACUGUGAUGUAAAAGUGAAUGAAUGCUUGUAAUAGCUAGUAGUUUAUGUAUUUGAUACUUCCUUAUGCAAUCUUGAUUGAUAUCCGUUCCUGGUUGGAACAUCUCUAUAUUGUUUGGAUUGCGACGCCUAGAAUGUACUGGGGAGACUCUGUCCGCGUACAGGGGAAACCCCGGCCCGUCCGGCGGUCUGUUAGCGGCGCCGCGACUCGGUCCAAAUUGGCGGUUGGUCGCGGGGCGUGACAAUUCAAGUGGUAUUAGCUUUUGGCUUAAGGUGAUUGUGUUGGCGGCCGACAACACGAUGCCGAAAGUCAGGAACGAGUACACUUACAAGCUACCGCCUNAUUCAAGUGGUAUUAGCUUUUGGCUUAAGGUGAUUGUGUUGGCGGCCGACAACACGAUGCCGAAAGUCAGGAACGAGUACACUUACAAGCUACCGCCUGAUUGAUGCUAUUUAAACGCUUAUAUUUCGCAAAUUGCGACGACGACGUUGUUGGUUAAGUAACAAACCAACUGUUUGCGUUUCAGGGCCAAUGGCACCAAGGGGACGCCCUAGGACGAGAUACGCUCCGGCACCGCCUCCUGAGGUGCCCGAGCAGGCCGAGCCGAGCGUGAUCGAUCGGCUGCAGGCGCAGGUGAUGGCGUUGACCGAUGUUAUAAUAUACCAGAUUUUGGUAUAAAAAUAAAAGUAAACAAAAAUAUUGUGAGAUACUAUUUUUAUUGGUUUUUGAGAAACAAAGUAUAAGUCUAUAAUGACUUGUGCUGAAAUCGGAAUGAAAACAGAAGAUUUAUAAUUUUCUGUUGAAAACGGGGUGGAUAAAUUAGCAGAAAAUGCACAGUGUCAGAAAAUUAUGAAAAUUUGACGGAUCAGUCAGAAUUAUUUUUAUGAGGCUAGAUUUAAAGUUUCAUACCAUUCCGACAUCCGUAGAGAGAGAAAUAAAAUCCGAAAGCUAUCUGAUAAAGAUUACAAUUCGGUACAGUUUUCAGUGACCAAACGGAGUCGAAACUAAAAUAUUAAAAUUUUUUUGGACUCAGUACGUAAAACCGAGCCUGCCUGUCAAGUUUGAGCUCAAACGGACAUUCAGAAGGGCUCCGGCGAAAAAAAUGUCAGUUUUAAGCCUCCCUGGAGUGAAUAGUGUUCUUGGAAGCUUCUUAUGAAACUUGGAGAGCAAGUUUCCUCUCUAUGUAUAUAUAGGACUUGGGCUUUCUUUCCUCUCAUUAUUCACACUCACAACCAAAAAAAAAAAUCUCUCUCUACACCAAAGAGAGGAUUGGAGAAGAAAAGAAAGAAAAAUUGAAGCAAGCUUGGAGAAGAUUAGAGUAGCUUGAAGUUGAAGCUCUCUCUAAUGGUGGAGGCAAGCUUUCCAAUGGUGGAUUUAGCUUGAUGUGAAUGGUGGUCUAAGGUGAGAUCUCAUAAUUUAAGCUAGGAUUUGGUUUAAUCCUUAAUGCUUAGUGUUCCAAUAGCCUCUAAUGUGUUGAUUAGCAUGUUAAAUCCAUUUAAUUUGGGUUAAUUGGAGCAUGUGUAGAGGCUAGGUUUAUAAUGAUAGAUCUUUAGAGCUUUAAUUAUAUGCUCUAAGAUUGGAUUUAGAGGAAUCCUUAGAUGCUAAAUGGAUGACUAUUGCAUGAAUUAAGGGAUUAUAUGAUGAAUUCUUGCAAUAGUGUAUCUUAGGGCUCGAAAAUUGAGUUUUGUAAAAUAGUAGGGUUUGAUAUCAUUUGUCCUAAUUGCUAGGUAAACGAACGCGUUGGCGAAGUCGGUUCGGCGAUUCGUCGAGCCGUUACGAAGUUAUUAAAGAAACGGACGUUUAGGCUUCGGGUCCGCCGGGAGGGCCGAGGCGACGACAUAAAAUCGUGGAAAUGGAUUUGAGGCACCGUGGUAGCGUGGCGAAGAGCUUCUGCACUUGAAACGGCGAAGCGGCGAGCUCUUGGAGUGCGAUCAUGAGAUCAGGCCCAAACGGAUGCCGAGUGCCGCGGGAGGCCGAUUGCAAGUGACGACAAGUAAUCGGAGAGCCAUUUAAGGUGGGUUGUGUUUACCGAAGCGACUAGGUCGCCUCUAUGUCUAAGAGUAAAGGUUUCAUAUUGAUGCAUGUAGUGGUAGCCAAUGAUAGAAUGUAUAAAUGCAUGGAAAGAAUACUAUAUGGGCUACCAAAUAAUGCAUGUGGUCAUAAUGUGAGAAUGCUAAGUAAUGCUUAAUGAUGUAGUGUAAAUGAUGCUAAGUGGAAAGCAUAAAGUAG
This 5448-nucleotide long non-coding RNA is filed under the name Ananas comosus (pineapple). Its description in RNAcentral is "long non-coding RNA (ACOM_LNC041829)". Lineage: Eukaryota; Viridiplantae; Streptophyta; Magnoliopsida; Poales; Bromeliaceae. The record is from RNAcentral.